Molecule: ribosomal RNA, 1374 nt
Filed under: uncultured bacterium
Lineage: Bacteria
Description: bacterial SSU rRNA
Rfam family: Bacterial small subunit ribosomal RNA
Source: RNAcentral
GAGUUUGAUCAUGGCUCAGAACGUACGCUGGCGGCACGCCUAACACAUGCAAGUCGAACGAAGUAGCAAUACUUAGUGGCAGACGGGUGAGUAACAUGUAGGUAUCUGCCCUUUGGCCUGGAAUAACACGAGGAAACUUGUGCUAAUACCGGAUAAGUCUUUACGGAGAAAGCUUUAUGCACCAUUGGAUGAGCCUGCACUUGAUUAGUUUGUUGGUGGGGUAAUGGCCUACCAAGACUGUGAUCAAUAGCUGAUUUGAGAGGAUGAUCAGCCACAUUGGGACUGAGACACGGCCCAAACUCCUACGGGAGGCAGCAGUGGGGAAUCUUGCACAAUGGAGGAAACUCUGAUGCAGCGAUGCCGCGUGAGUGAAGAAGGCCCUUGGGUUGUAAAGCUCUUUCGUCGGGGAAGAAAAUGACUGUACCCGAAUAAGAAGGUCCGGCUAACUUCGUGCCAGCAGCCGCGGUAAUACGAAGGGACCUAGCGUAGUUCGGAAUUACUGGGCUUAAAGAGUUCGUAGGUGGUUAAAAAAGUUGAUGGUGAAAUCCCAAGGCUCAACCUUGGAACUGCCAUCAAAACUUUUUAGCUAGAGUAUGAUAGAGGAAAGUGGAAUUUCUAGUGUAGAGGUGAAAUUCGUAGAUAUUAGAAAGAAUACCAAUUGCGAAGGCAGCUUUCUGGAUCAUUACUGACACUGAGGAACGAAAGCAUGGGUAGCGAAGAGGAUUAGAUACCCUCGUAGUCCAUGCCGUAAACGAUGUGUGUUAGACGUUGGAAAUUUAUUUUCAGUGUCGCAGCGAAAGCGAUAAACACACCGCCUGGGGAGUACGACCGCAAGGUUAAAACUCAAAUGAAUUGACGGGGACCCGCACAAGUAGUGGAGCAUGUGGUUUAAUUCGAAGAUACGCGCAGAACCUUACCAACACUUGACAUGUUCGUCGCGACUCUAAGAGAUUAGAGUUUUCGGUUCGGCCGGACGAAACACAGGUGCUGCAUGGCUGUCGUCAGCUCGUGUCGUGAGAUGUUGGGUUAAGUCCCGCAACGAGCGCAACCCUCACUUUUAGUUGCCAUCAUUAAGUUGGGCACUCUGAAAGAACUGCCAGUGAUAAGCUGGAGGAAGGUGGGGAUGACGUCAAGUCCUCAUGGCCCUUACGUGUUGGGCUACACACGUGCUACAAUGGUAUCUACAACAGGAAGCAAGACUGCGAGGUCAAGCAAAUCCUUAAAAGAUACCUCAGUUCGGAUUGCACUCUGCAACUCGAGUGCAUGAAGCUGGAAUUACUAGUAAUCGUGGAUCAGCGUGCCACGGUGAAUGCGUUCCCGGGUCUUGUACACACCGCCCGUCACACCAUGGGAGUUGGUUCUACCUUAAGGCAA